UCCACGCAGUAAACGAUGAAUGUUAGUCGUCGGGGGCCUAGUGUCUACGGUGAUGCAGCUAACGCAUUAAACAUUCCGCCUGGGGAGUACGGUCGCAAGAUUAAAACUCAAAGGAAUAGACGGGGACCCGCACAAGUGGUGGAGCAUGUGGUUUAAUUCGAAAAUACGCGAAGAACCUUACCUAGCCUUGACAUAUUUUAGAACUCCGUAGAGAUACAGAGGUGCCUUCGGGAGCUAAUUUACAGGUGCUGCACGGCUGUCGUCAGCUCGUGUCGUGAGUUGGUUAGGUACCGCCACGAGCG
RNAcentral lists this ribosomal RNA (302 nucleotides) under uncultured bacterium. RNAcentral's name for it is "bacterial SSU rRNA". It matches the Rfam family "Bacterial small subunit ribosomal RNA", at positions 794 to 1098 of the family's 1533-position model. The record is from RNAcentral.